AAGUCGUAACAAGGUCUCCGUUGGUGAACCAGCGGAGGGAUCAUUACCGAGUUUACAACUCCCAAACCCCUGUGAACCUACCUAUCGUUGCUUCGGCGGACUCGCCCCAGCCCGGACGCGGACUGGACCAGCGGCCCGCCGGGGACCUCAAACUCCUGUAUUCCAGCAUCUUCUGAAUACGCCGCAAGGCAAAAACAAAUGAAUCAAAACUUUCAACAACGGAUCUCUUGGCUCUG
This 236-nucleotide unclassified non-coding RNA is filed under the name Beauveria bassiana. RNAcentral's name for it is "partial internal transcribed spacer region". The stretch from base 1 to 46 matches the Rfam family "Eukaryotic small subunit ribosomal RNA", at positions 1786 to 1831 of the family's 1831-position model. Lineage: Eukaryota; Fungi; Ascomycota; Sordariomycetes; Hypocreales; Cordycipitaceae. The record is from RNAcentral.